ACUAGAGUAGCACUCGCAUAUCAAUAAGCGGAGGAAAAGAAACUAACAAGGAUUCCCCUAGUAACGGCGAGUGAAGCGGGAAGAGCUCAAAUUUGAAAUCUUAAAGGGUUUCCCUUUACGAAUUGUAGUUUAAAGAAGUGUUUUCUGUUGAGGUUUUGGUAAAAGUUCUUUGGAAUAGGACAUCAUAGAGGGUGAGAAUCCCGUAUUUGACCUUUACUUUCAACUUUGUGAUACACUUUCAAAGAGUCGGAUUGUUUGGGAAUGCAGUCCAAAAUGGGUGGUAAAUUUCAUCUAAAGCUAAAUAUUGGCGAGAGACCGAUAGCGAACAAGUACCGUGAGGGAAAGAUGAAAAGAACUUUGAAAAGAGAGUUAAACAGUACGUGAAAUUGUCAAAAGGGAAGCGUUUGACACCAGUGUUGUUUUUCUGAAAAUCAAUUAAAGAACUGUUUAUGCUAAGCUGUUUAGACUUUAUCAGCUAAUCUGUUUAGUUUCGAGCUUUUCUUUAAUGCACUUUUCAGUUAACAAGUCAACAUCAAUUUCUUUUGCUGUAAAAAAGCUUGAGGAAGGUGGCUUGAGAUUCGUCUUAAGUGUUUAUAGCCUCUUGCCUAUGCAGUCGGAGAGAUUGAGGUCUGCAGCGUAGAUCCUUCGGGGCUAAAUGCAUUUGUGCUAAGUUAUAGCAUUUUAUAGACAACUUGUUGACUAUGAUUUGUCUUGUAGCUUACUCGCUUAUGUUAUUUUACCUACGCUUAGGAUGUUGAUCUCUCACAGUCGAGC
Molecule: ribosomal RNA, 774 nt
Filed under: uncultured Neocallimastigales
Lineage: Eukaryota; Fungi; Neocallimastigomycota; Neocallimastigomycetes; Neocallimastigales
Description: partial large subunit ribosomal RNA
Rfam family: Eukaryotic large subunit ribosomal RNA
Source: RNAcentral